RNAcentral lists this long non-coding RNA (286 nucleotides) under Mustela putorius furo (domestic ferret). Its description in RNAcentral is "lncRNA (ENSMPUG00000028938.1)". Lineage: Eukaryota; Metazoa; Chordata; Mammalia; Carnivora; Mustelidae. The record is from RNAcentral.
CACUGGGACGGACACACUAUUCAUUUCCCACCUCUGCUUUGAUAAGUAGAGAGGACAAAGCACCAACAUUCUCAUUUUCAGAGGCAGUUAAGUGACUUGUCACAGAGACGGGGAGCUGUGACAAUAAUAGGGGUCCUUUGACUCUCAGUUCCUUGCCAUCAAGUGAUUUCACAGCUGCUCAGAUCCUGACGGACACAGCGUCCAAAGGCACUCGGCGUUCAAGCUGGAUUCGGAGAUUUCCAAAUGGGGGUACAUGCCCUCUGGUAGAAAGAACAUUGAAUUUAAU